This 1093-nucleotide long non-coding RNA is filed under the name Gallus gallus (chicken). RNAcentral's name for it is "lncRNA (ENSGALG00010020239.1)". Lineage: Eukaryota; Metazoa; Chordata; Aves; Galliformes; Phasianidae. The record is from RNAcentral.
GUUUACUUUGGUGCCAGAAGUUUUACUUCUCCCUACCUUCAUUGGUGUUUGCUAUAGAAUAAGGAGCUGGGAGUAAUACUGAAUCUUUUAUGACCAGAUGAUGUGAUGAAGUGUUAUGAAUGCCAGGGAGCUGUUAGAGAGGGUCCAGAGGGAGAGACACAAGGAUGAUCAGAGGGCUGCAGCACCUCCCCUACGAAGACAGGCUGAGGGAGCUGGGCUUGUUCAGCCUGGAGAAGAGAAGGCUGUGGGGUGACCUCAUUGCAGCCUUUCAGUACCUAAAGGGAGCCUACAAAUGGGAGGGGAGUCAACUCUUUGAAAGGGGAGAUAACAGCAGGACAAGGGGAAAUGGUGUGAAGUUGAAGGAGGGAAGAUUGAGGUUGGAUGUCAGGAGGAAUUCUUUACUGUGAGAGUGGUGAGGUGCUGGAACAGCUGCCCAGAGAGGCUGUGGAUGCCCCGUCCAUCCCUGGAGGUGUUCAAGGCCAGGUUGGAUGGGGCCCUGGGCAGCCUGGGCUGGUAUUACAUGUGGAGGUUGGUGGCCCUGCCUGUGGUGGGGGGUUGGAGCUUCGUGAUCCUUGAGGUCCCUUCCAACCCGGGCCAUUCUGUGAUUCUAUGAUACUGCUCUUUACAACAGGAAGAAGAGUUUGAGUGCUUCUCCCCAAGCCCUUUUCCUUUCCAGCUAAAUCCAGGAGCCAACACAAACACAGGGAGCAGCCACAGAAUCAUAAAAUGAUUGAAUUAUUAAGAUUGGAAAAGACCUUCAAGACCAUCAAGUCCAAGUGCCAGCCCAUCCCCACCAUGCCCACUGACCAUGUCCCUCACUGCCACAUCUACUCAUUUCUCAAACGCCUCCAGGAACUCCAUCACCUCCCCCACCCCUGGGCAGCCUGUUCCAAUGCCUGACAGCUCAUUCUGAGAAGAAAUGUUUCUCAGUAUCCAACUUGACCCUCCUCUGGCACUACUUGAGACCAUCACCUCUUGUCCUACCACUGGUUACACGGAAGCCAACCCCACCUCCUCCCCAGCUCCUGUCAGGGAGCUGCAGAGAGCGAUGAGGGCUCCCCUGAGCCUCCUCUUCUCCACACUGACCCCCCCC